RNAcentral lists this long non-coding RNA (1708 nucleotides) under Macaca mulatta (Rhesus monkey). Its description in RNAcentral is "lncRNA (ENSMMUG00000053875.1)". The record is from RNAcentral. Lineage: Eukaryota; Metazoa; Chordata; Mammalia; Primates; Cercopithecidae.
UGGGCUCCCUUGCCACACAUGGAGAAGGCCCCAAGCCUACACCUGGGAGGGCCAAUCAGACCCCAUGUGCUUGCUCUGUUUUUGUUUUUGUUUCCUUCCUUCCUUCCUUCCUUCCUUCCUUCCUUCCUUCCUUCCUUCCUUCCUUUUUUUUUUUUUUUUAACUUUUGCAGAGAUAGGGUCUCCCUAUGUUGCCCAGGCUGGUCUCAAACUCCUGGUCUCAAGUGAUCCUCCAGCCUUGGCCUCCUCCUAAAGUUCUGGGAUUACAGGCAUGAGCCACCACAUCCGGCCUUCUGUUGUUGUUGUUGUUUUUUGUCCUUUCUUUUCCCUUCUUUCCUCAUCUGGUUAUUUAUUUUUCCUUCUCCCUUCUCUUUUAUUUCUGUUUAUUUUUCUCUCUUCUUUCUUCUGCAAGCAUCCUCCUUUGCUUAUGCCUACUUCUUGUCUCCUGUGACCUUCCCCAGGGCUGUCACACUCAGAUUUUGCCCUGACCAGGAGUGCCUGGCCAAGGAAGAGAGUGGGGAUUGAGCUCGCCACGCCAAGCACCUAGCCACACUGAAGGGGACGCCUUUUCUAACAAGCAAGAGGUGCUACAAUGACUGGCUACCUGGUUCUUUUGCACUCUCUCCUUUCUAUGUCUGUCUCCUCUGUUCUGGAGCAAUGUGAUGGAGUGGACAGAGCAUGAGCUCUGGAGUUAGGCCUCUGUUCAAAUCCUGGCUCUGCCAUUUACUGAUUUUGUGACCUCGACCACGUUUUUGACCUUCCUGAGCUUCAGUGUCCUCAUCUGUGUACACCUCCUGGAUUGUUAAACCUAAAUGCCAAGGGAGGCAUUCGAGCACAGUGAACACAGAGCACAGUCUUAGGAGUGUGAAUGCUGACCCAACCUCUUACUGGCUGUGUGACUGUAGUACCUAACCUCUCUAAGUCCCAAUUUUCUUUCUUUCUUUCUUUUUUUUUUUUUUUUUUUGAGAUGGAAUCUUGCUCUGUUGCCAGGCUGGAGUGCAGUGGCCCAGUCUCAGCUCACUGCAACCUCUGCCUCCUGGGUUCAAGCGAUUCUCCUGCCUCAGCCUCCCAAGUAGCUGGGAUUACAGGUGUGAGCCACCACACUUGGCUUCUAAGCCCCAGUUUUCUAACCUCUUCAAUGAGAUGGUAACCAGACAAAACUUGUAGGGUUUUUAUGAAGAUAAAGGAGGUAACUCAGGGAAAGUACUUAACAUCUGGACACAUAGUUAACAUGAAAUAACUUCCAAUUGUAUAUUAUGAUUGUGUUGCUAUCUAUUACUUGUAUACCACCUAGCUCAUGCUAGGUACUUGUGGUAGCCAGCCUCCAGGAUGCCCCCAGUCAGGCCUUGAGAUGACUGCAGCCCUGGCUGACGUACGAUGGCAACCUCAUGGAAGACCCAGAGCCAGAACUGGCCAGCCAAACUGUCCGAGUCCACUGGGGGAUCUUAUGGCAAAACACAUAAAUCGGAUGGCUUAUAACCAAAAACAUUUAUUUCUCACAGUACUGAAGGCUGGGAAGUCCAAAGCCCCAGCAGAUUCAGUGUCUGGUGGGGGCCUGCCUCCUUACAGAUGGUGCCUUCUUGCUGUGUCCUCAUACAGUGGAUGGGGAAAAUUCUGGUCUCUUCCACCCCUUAUAAAGGUACUAAUCCCAUUCACAAGGGCUCCACCCUCAUGACCUAACCAUCUCUCAAAGGCCUCACCUCAUAAUGCC